AAAUGUUUAAAAAACGAAACUUUUUCAUAUAUUGCUAAUUCCAUCAACCUUAAUCUUUUUCAUAUAUGGUGCAAGACCGAUAGCUCUACCUCCCGUGUGGAAGAUCUUGAGGUUAUGUGCCUCCGAAGAGAACAGCCUGCUCGUGCUGAUCAGGAGCGUGCAGAGCACGCCUUCGCCGAAGGACUUCUCAUCGCUUAAUGCGCAGGAGCUAAGCUGUUACACAGAGGUCUCACUAAGGC
This 239-nucleotide long non-coding RNA is filed under the name Vigna radiata. Its description in RNAcentral is "long non-coding RNA (VRAD_LNC002267)". Lineage: Eukaryota; Viridiplantae; Streptophyta; Magnoliopsida; Fabales; Fabaceae. The record is from RNAcentral.